AUCAGGGGAAAAUUGAAAGCUCGCGCAAAGGAAAAGGAUCAGACGCGCAAUUUUCCCCAUUGCCCCAAUCAGGCGCAUACCCGGCCUACCAAAACGGGCUGACACGCGAGUCAUUGUGCUAGGAAACGGCACCGUAAUGAAGAAAACCCAUUGGCCUUCAUUUACCCUUUUAUUUUCCAGAACCAAGACACUUUCAUUCAUUUUUCAAAUUAGAACACAUUUUUUGCUAAGGUUUUUCCACAGGCGGCUGAAUCACCAUCAGAUCUGGUGUCCAGCAGCACGCGAAACCACUCCCGACUCCUGCUGUAAAUACUCGACCACCUAUUGAAGAGCUUGGGAUAGAGCAACGGCUAUACGGAAAAAAUUUGCUCGUGAAAGUCGUGAUUGCAGCACUGGUGUGUUCCAGAAACCUCUAGUGCUUUCAGCUGCUGAGAUUCCCCUUUUGGGGUUCUUUCAAGUUUGGGCCUUUUUGCAAAUUGGGCUCAUUGGUCUUUGGGCCUUUGUAUAUGUUUGGGCUAUUUGUUAGUGUUUAUUUAAGGUUGUAAAUGGACUAUUGGAACUUUAUUUAAGUUUAUUUGACUAGCUAUUGAAUAUAUAAA
This is a long non-coding RNA of Gossypium arboreum, 599 nucleotides long. RefSeq lists it as uncharacterized. The transcript has 2 exons. The record is from RefSeq and is a predicted model, not a curated record. Lineage: Eukaryota; Viridiplantae; Streptophyta; Magnoliopsida; Malvales; Malvaceae.